Sarcophilus harrisii (Tasmanian devil) is the source of this 3062-nucleotide long non-coding RNA. The record is from Ensembl. NCBI's taxonomy places the organism in Eukaryota, Metazoa, Chordata, Mammalia, Dasyuromorphia, Dasyuridae.
GCUCUAUAUAAAACCAUAUAUAAUAACAUACACAUAAGCUACACACAAAACUAUAUAUAACAUACAUAUAAGCUAUACAUAAGCUAUAUACAAUAUAUAUAAGCUAAUAUAUAAGCUAUACAUAAUAAUAAAUAAUAUAAGAUAUUAAGAGACAGAGACGGCUGUGCUUUAUUCUUCUAGAGCUAGGCUGUCACACCCAUGCCUCGGGGUUCUAGGGCCCCUGAGCAGUUUACGGGGUCUCUUGCCCACGGCCAGUAGCUCAUCCCAGGCUCCGCCCCCCUCCCCCUGACAUUGCUAGAUCCCAGGGACUUAGGCCCGGUUCCCAGCUAGCCAGUCAGCAACAGCUGACUUUUACAGGGGGCUAUUUAUCUCAAAGACAGCCAGAAACCAGGCGCAAGCACGCGCCCUGACCCCGGGGCACCCGCUGCCCCUGGCACGAUCCCGGUUUCCGGACACAGCCCUGCCUCAGCAAUACCAGCCCCGUAUCUCCGCAGGGUUCGGAAGGUCACCCAAAGGCAGCUUGCUCCCCGCUCCCCCAGGCCUCGGGGCUGGGCCGGCCGCAUUCCUACGGCUUGCCCUGCGGAGCGAUUCAAAACUCGCCAGGGGGGAGACUCCCCUCCCUUGGAGGGGAACGGAAAAAAAACCCCACGCAGAGGGCAAAGGCCGGAGGGCAAAGGCCGGAGGUCACGCCCGGUGGCGGUAGGAGCUUAUCGGGAGAAGGCUCCCAGACCUCACCGCGCCGUCUCUCACCUUGGGCCCUUGGUGAAAGCGGCAAAGCCCCGAAGCGGAGCGGCGGGGAAGACCAAGGCCGCGAGGGCCGGAGAAAUGCGCCCCUUUCUCUGCAAGCGUAGCCGGCUGAGCGGUUACCGCCUGUCACGCCGCACAGCCGUGCCGCGCUCACGAAGCUUCUGGGGGCCAACUCGCCGUCUGCCCGCCCGGAGCGCAUCGCGCGGGGAGCGCCCCCCCCGGCGCGGCGGAACUCCCUGCCGCGAGUCCGUUUCUGAGGGCGCCGGGAAGUGCUUCCCCGGCGCCUCUGUCACCCCCUCACGCGGUUCCUGGCCGACGAAAGGCCUGGAGAGACUUACACGAACUGAUGCUGAGUGAAAUGAGGAGGACCAGGAGAUCAUUAUAUACUUCAACAACAAUACUAUAUGAUGACCAGUUCUGAUGGACCUGGCCAUCCUCAGCAACAAGAUCAACCAAAUCAUUUCCAAUGGAGCAAUAAUAAACUGAACCAGCUAUGCCCAGAGAAAGAACUCUGGGAGAUGACUAAAAACCAUUACAUUGAAUUCCCAAUCCCUAUAUUUAUGCCCAUCUGCAUUUUUGAUUUCCUUCACAAGCUAAUUGUACAAUAUUUCAGAGUCUGAUUCUUUUUGUACAGCAAAAUAACGGUUUGGUCAUGUAUACUUAUUGUGUAUCUAAUUUAUAUUUUAAUGUAUUUAACAUCUACUGGUCAUCCUGCCAUCUGGGGGAGGGGGUGGGAGGUAAGAGGUGAAAAAUUGGAACAAGAGGUUUGGCAAUUGUUAACGCUGUAAAGUUACCCAUGCAUAUAACCUGUAAAUAAAAGGCUAUUAAAUUUAAAAAAAAAAAAAUACAUGAGAUCCUCAAAACAAUUUUUUAAAGUUGGUAUUAAGUGCCAUUUUCUGUAACGAGACAGAAGACAAUUCCAAAAUAAACAGUAAAUGUUUAGGGUUGAUGGAGAUAUGGGAGAGAAUGGACUAUAUUUUAUUCUAAUUAUAGAGGUGGAGGGAGAUAGAGACAGAUAUCCAUCAUGCCAUAACUUUUACCAAAAUGUUCUCAGAGUUCUUAUAAGCCUCUUAGUACAAGCUAUUCCUCUUUUAGUCACUGUAAGUUUGUCAUCCUGUAUUACCUUCUGAAAGAGCAAAAUACUUCCAAACAGUACAUGAGUAAACAUAAACAGAUCCCUAAGUCCAAAGAAAUUAAUUCAGAUAACCUAGUUUCUUCAGGAACUUAUUUCUGUUUUAGUAGCUUUGAUGAGGCUGAGCCCUGUGAUCUUCCAAUCUAGCCACAGAGGCCCCCGACAGGUGGCUUUAUGAGGAUGUUGUAGGAGUGUGUGUGUAUAUUGUGUGUGUGUGUGUGUGUGUGUGUGUGUGUGUAUGUAUGUGAGAGAGAGACAAGAGCCAAGAUAAACAAUUGUGUGUCAAGAGAAUUUUAUGACUCUUUCUAUGAUACUGGUCCAAACACACAAAGUAGAAUCUCUAGUUUGAUAUAAGAGAUGCACAUACUUGAUAUAGAAGGCCAUCUUUUUGUUCUGUGGAAUAAAAGCCAGUGGGCCUGUAAUUUAUUUCCCAGAGAAACUCUGGUAUUCUGUUCUGUGUCUUCAAAUGGAAAGCUAGCAAAGUUCAAUUCUUUUAUAACUGGCAAACUGCACAGCUCAAACAGCCUUCUAACAAUUAAAGUUAACGUCUGGUUUAUUAUUGUUUGUUUUUUUAGUAAUGUCAAAUUCUUUAUGACCCUGUUGGGAUUUUCUUGGCAAAGGUAAUAGACCUCCUCCAGGUCAUCUUACAGACGACUGAGCUAAACAGGGUUAAGUGACUGUCCAAGAUCACAGAGCUAAUAAGUGUCUAAAAUCAGAUUAAAACUCAGGAAUAUGAGUCUUCUUGACUCCAACCCCAGCUCUCUAUCCCUUGUACCACUUAGCUGCCCUAAUUUCUAGUUUUAACACCAUAUAAAUUGAAGUAUGGCAUAUUCAUUUUGCUUUAUAUGGCAGAGACAUUUUUACAUAUGCAUGUGUAUAUGUAUAUUAUAAACAUAUUAUAUAACAUAUGUGUGUAUCUGCCAUUAAAAUUAUUUUAAAAACCAAAAUGGACACUUUGGAGUGGCUAUUUAGCCUAUUUAUUAUAUAUGAGUUUAGCCCUCUGUGAAAAGUAGAAUAGACGAAAAAAUUGAGAUGUAUCUUGAUGCAAGAUAAUAGGGCCAUUGAGCUGGAGCUAAAAGAGACCUUAGAAAUGAUCUAGUCCAACCUCCUCUUUAAUAGGUAAGUAAACUGAGAAUUGGAGAAUUUAAGUGAGUUUCCCCAAGGUCAUGGUGGCAGUAAAGGG